This 89-nucleotide transfer RNA is filed under the name Peterkaempfera bronchialis. It matches the Rfam family "tRNA". Rfam says of the family: Transfer RNA (tRNA) molecules are approximately 80 nucleotides in length. Their secondary structure includes four short double-helical elements and three loops (D, anti-codon, and T loops). Lineage: Bacteria; Bacillati; Actinomycetota; Actinomycetes; Kitasatosporales; Streptomycetaceae. RNAcentral also lists the same sequence under 2 other names. The record is from Rfam by way of RNAcentral.
GGAGGGCUGCCCGAGUGGCCUAAGGGAACAGUCUUGAAAACUGUCGCCAGGGGUGACCCUGGCCGAGGGUUCGAAUCCCUCGCCCUCCG